RNAcentral lists this ribosomal RNA (499 nucleotides) under uncultured bacterium. Its description in RNAcentral is "partial 16S ribosomal RNA". It matches the Rfam family "Bacterial small subunit ribosomal RNA", at positions 28 to 507 of the family's 1533-position model. The record is from RNAcentral.
GACGAACGCUGGCGGCGUGCCUAAUACAUGCAAGUCGAGCGAAGUUUUUCUGGUUCUUGCACUAGAAAAACUUAGCGGCGAACGGGUGAGUAACACGUAAAGAACCUGCCUCAUAGACUGGGACUACUAUUGGAAACGAUAGCUAAUACCGGAUAACAGUAUUUCUCGCAUGAGAGAUAUUUAAAAGUUGGUUAUGCUAACACUAUGAGAUGGCUUUGCGGUGCAUUAGCUAGUUGGUGGGGGAAAGGCACACCAAGGCGACGAUGCAUAGCCGACCUGAGAGCGUGAUCGGCCACACUGGGACUGAGACACGGCCCAGACUCCUACGGGAGGCAGCAGUAGGGAAUCUUCCGCAAUGGGCGAAUGCCUGACGGUGCAACGCCGCGUGAGUGAAGAAGGAUUUCGGUUCGUAAAGCUCUGUUGUUAGGGAAGAAUGGAUAUGUAGUAACCAGACAUGUAAGUGACGGUACCUAGACAGAAAGCCACGGCUAACUACGUG